CGGGGUGAGUAAUGUCUGGGAAACUGCCCGAUGGAGGGGGAUAACUACUGGAAACGGUAGCUAGUACCGCAUAACGUCGCAAGACCAAAGAGGGGGACCUUAGGGCCUCUUGCCAUCGGAUGUGCCCAGAUGGGAUUAGCUAGUAGGUGGGGUAAUGGCUCACCUAGGCGAUGAUCCCUAGCUGGUCUGAGAGGAUGACCAGCCACACUGGAACUGAGACACGGUCCAG
RNAcentral lists this ribosomal RNA (229 nucleotides) under uncultured bacterium. RNAcentral describes it as "partial 16S ribosomal RNA". It matches the Rfam family "Bacterial small subunit ribosomal RNA", at positions 104 to 334 of the family's 1533-position model. The record is from RNAcentral.